UAUGUCUAAUAUAUACUAUGGGAUAAAUGCGGUUCCCAUUUUCGCGUCCUCUACUCAACAUUUCAGGCUCCUAGGUUGAUUGAUACUGAGGUAAUGAACUGAGACAAUGUAUCACGGAGUUCGUACACUCCAGUCCAGACCAUCAUCUCGAGUUGUUGCGUCCACAGAAACAUACUAGUGAAAGGCUUUCAUGUGUGAAGUUAUAUGAUGUCACGGGGGAGGACGCUCUGUGUCACCUUCACUACAACAAUACAGGACUUGUCAUAGUGUUUUGAAAGGACAGGGGUGGCGACUUUGACUAUGGUGCCGUAAUGUGUCACUCAUAAAACAGGUUGCGGGGGAGGGAGGUAACGCCUCUCGUUAGAGGGUGAAGUACAGUGCAGUACAGUACAGUACGGUAGAAGUACCUAAAGCUCACCCGGCCAUUUAGAAUGAAUGGAGCUGCACAAGCAAGCUUCAAUGCUCGGGAGAUGAAUGCAUCCAAGUCGAAGAGGCGUUCUUUCUGCUUGACGGGAAGCAACUCGUCGCAUUGGACGUCCGAUGGUUUUGAAGUGCUGGUCGUGGAGAGAUGUGGGGGAGGAAGAAGAGGAGAGACGGGAGUGGAUGGAAUGAGGGAGCAAAGAGAUGGAGGGGUGAUGGCCGGAAAGGGGCUGAUUCCGUCCUCGUCGGUUAAGUGAUGCGGCUCCACGUCCGGGUAGUGAAAGACGGGAGUCGGGAGGUCCGUAGGGGACAGCGGGAGAGGCGGGGAGGAGGUGAAGCAGGGGUGCGGCUCCAGAGAUGGACUUGGACUGGGGGAGUCCAGAUGGGACUGGGUGCUCUCCACCCAGCGGGAGAUCUCCUGGAAUAAAUCUCCUGUCCCGGUUCCCGUUCCUGCAACCUCGUCAUCCACGUUCAUCUCCCUCUCAUCCUCCAAGCUUCCCCCAAGUGGCUGGAUGGGCACCGGAGGGGUGAUUGUGUUACGCUUCCAGUGGGACAGAUCCAGAAUGAGGCGGGGUUCCGAGUAGUGCUGAGGUUUGCCAUCCCGCCACGCAAUCCGGUCCAGAUAGGACGGCGAGCCCACCUUGUAGUCACACGAGCGGCCGCAGUCCAGAUCGCCGAACCCGAAACCGCAGGCCCGGUCUAGAGAGGAGUGGGAAUGCUCCAGGAAGCGUUCGGCGGAGCUGCUGUGGGAAUAUUUGCGCGGGUCCACCUUGACGGAAUGACAAACAAUAAAGGUGGCGAAGGUUGCAGGUGAGCUGGAGCUUUUCCCUUUCCUGACUUUGAGCAAGACUUGAGGUACACCUUCACAGGUGUCUUGAAUGAACCUAACAUGCAUAUUUUUGGUAUGCGGAAUGAAGCCAGAUCACCUGAAGUAAAGCCACGCUGGCAGAGAUUCGAAACAGAACUGUGAGGUGGAUGUACGUACUAAGCACUUCUCCACCACGCCUUGAUAUUUCAAAUGGUCCAAAAGAACUACACAUUUGUCCUUCCGGCAGUUCUUCUGUUUCCAUCCAUCCAUUCAUACAGCCAUUUUCCAGUGUAUCGAUUUUAUUUUAUGUAUUAUAUUUGUAUGUAUUUCAAUAAAGUCUUUAAAAAAAUUCCA
Molecule: long non-coding RNA, 1582 nt
Organism: Hippocampus zosterae (dwarf seahorse)
Lineage: Eukaryota; Metazoa; Chordata; Actinopteri; Syngnathiformes; Syngnathidae
Exons: 3
Source: RefSeq, a predicted model, not a curated record